GCCUCCGUGGCUCAGUGGUAGAGCGCUACAUUGGUAAUGUAGAGGUCGCGAGUUCAACUCUCGCCGGAGGCU
RNAcentral lists this transfer RNA (72 nucleotides) under Candidatus Woesearchaeota archaeon. Its description in RNAcentral is "tRNA-Thr". It matches the Rfam family "tRNA". From Rfam's summary of the family: Transfer RNA (tRNA) molecules are approximately 80 nucleotides in length. Their secondary structure includes four short double-helical elements and three loops (D, anti-codon, and T loops). Further hydrogen bonds mediate the characteristic L-shaped molecular structure. tRNAs have two regions of fundamental functional importance: the anti-codon, which is responsible for specific mRNA codon recognition, and the 3' end, to which the tRNAs corresponding amino acid is attached (by aminoacyl-tRNA synthetases). tRNAs cope with the degeneracy of the genetic code in two manners: having more than one tRNA (with a specific anti-codon) for a particular amino acid; and 'wobble' base-pairing, i.e. permitting non-standard base-pairing at the 3rd anti-codon position. The record is from RNAcentral. Lineage: Archaea; Nanobdellati; Candidatus Woesearchaeota.